AAGUUCUUCAGAUGAAAUAACAAAAUUAGACCACAAUUUUCCUCCAGUUCAUAGGUCUACGAACAAAAAACCAAAGCAGACCAAAUUCAAUAGAAAACCAAAAAAAGGCAUUGUUUCAUCCAGCUGAUCUCUAGUUCUAGCAUUGGAUCUCCAUUUUAGUUAGGUGUUCUGGUGAUUUGCAGUGCUAAAGGUGUUUCGAGUCGAUUCCAAGCGACUUUAGGUAUAAUUGAUCUAGCUCGAGUAGACUUUGUGUUUGCUGGAGAUUUCAGAGGUGUUUGGUGUCCAAUUUCGAAUUUUUGUUGUUAAUUUGGGGUGCUAUAUUGAAUGGAUCUGUUACUCCUGAUUGAUUUAAAUGCUCCGGGUUACUGAUUUUUGUUUUUGGGCUGUUUUGAAUAUCAAUCAUCUACUAUUCGAUCACUGUCUCAGCUGACUUCCUAUUCUCAAUUUCUAUUCUGCUUCAGGUACAUGUUCUAAACCUCAUGUGUGGAAUUUCAGUUGAAAUAAAAAGGAAAUUGAGGCUUGCUG
RNAcentral lists this long non-coding RNA (525 nucleotides) under Nicotiana benthamiana. RNAcentral describes it as "long non-coding RNA (NBEN_LNC031632)". Lineage: Eukaryota; Viridiplantae; Streptophyta; Magnoliopsida; Solanales; Solanaceae. The record is from RNAcentral.